This 253-nucleotide ribosomal RNA is filed under the name uncultured bacterium. Its description in RNAcentral is "partial 16S ribosomal RNA". It matches the Rfam family "Bacterial small subunit ribosomal RNA", at positions 524 to 776 of the family's 1533-position model. The record is from RNAcentral.
GACGAACCGUGCGAACGUUGUUCGGAAUCACUGGGCUUAAAGGGCGCGUAGGCGGCUCCGCAAGUCGGGGGUGAAAUCUUUCGGCUUAACCGGAAAAGUGCCUCUGAUACUGCGGAGCUCGAGGGAGGUAGGGGCGGACGGAACUUCCGGUGGAGCGGUGAAAUGCGUUGAUAUCGGAAGGAACGCCGGUGGCGAAAGCGGUCCGCUGGCCCUCUACUGACGCUGAGGUACGAAAGCGUGGGGAGCGAACAGG